UACGGGGGGGGCAAGCGUUGUUCGGAUUUACUGGGCGUAAAGGGCGCGUAGGCGGCGCGGUAAGUCACUUGUGAAAUCUCUGAGCUUAACUCAGAACGGCCAAGUGAUACUGCAGUGCUAGAGUGCAGAAGGGGCAAUCGGAAUUCUUGGUGUAGCGGUGAAAUGCGUAGAUAUCAAGAGGAACACCUGAGGUGAAGACGGGUUGCUAGGCUGACACUGACGCUGAGGCGCGAAAGCCAGGGGAGCAAACGGG
Molecule: ribosomal RNA, 253 nt
Filed under: uncultured bacterium
Lineage: Bacteria
Description: partial 16S ribosomal RNA
Rfam family: Bacterial small subunit ribosomal RNA
Source: RNAcentral